This 1486-nucleotide long non-coding RNA is filed under the name Equus caballus (horse). Its description in RNAcentral is "lncRNA (ENSECAG00000044999.1)". Lineage: Eukaryota; Metazoa; Chordata; Mammalia; Perissodactyla; Equidae. The record is from RNAcentral.
CAGGUCUCGGAAGGGGGCGGCUCGGGCCGAGGCUCCUUCCGGGCUCGGCCUCCCUCUCCCCGCUGUGAGCGCCCGCUUCUGGACCGCCUUCCUUCAUUCACUCAUUAUUCACUGAUUCACGCAUUCUGGGGUCCUUGCCACCCGCUCUAAGCCGCUGGCCCCGCCGGAGCCGGGCACAGACGCUCCCAACUCUGUGCAGUCAGGCCCGAGUGGGAUGAGGAACAGGAGAGGGGCACUUACCUGAGGGGAGGAAGGAAAGGCUGCCUGGAGGAGGCGGCCUUGGAGCUGAACCCUGCAAGGAUGUGCUCCAAUCCACGGAAGCCUCCUGUGCUAGACCCCGGGCCGCCUGAUCAGCAGAGUUGCAGACUCUGGACUUCCUGCCUAGAAGAACGUGUGACCAGUUUCCUUGGCUGCUCCUUGUGAUGUGGAGCUCGGCACCUCCUAGACCAGAUUUCAGCAGAAAAUCCUUUCUCAGAUGGGUCAGGGGAAAAGCAUGCCCCUCCUGAAGCCCCUACCUUUGUACUGGACUCCCAGACCCUUUUCUGGACCCCCAGACCCCUAACCCUGGUGGUCUAGUGGUUCAGAUUCAGCGCUCUCACCCCCAUGGCCUGGGUUUGUUUCCCAGUCAGGGAACCACAUCACUCCUCUGGUCUGCCGGUUGUCAUACAGUGGUGGCUGUGUGUUGCUGUGAUGCUGAAAGCUCUGCCACUGGGAUCUCAAGUCCCAGCAGGUUCCCCAUGGCGGACAGGUUUCAGUGGAGCUUCCAGACUAAGACCAGGAAGAAGGACCUCGGCACCCAUUUCCGAAAAAAUUGGUCACGAAAUCCCUGUGAAUAGCAGCAGAGCAUUGUCUGGUACAGGGCUGGAAGGGGAGCGGGUCAUGUAAAAAGACAGAGCAGGGUUCCGCUCCACUGUGCACAGGGUCCCUAGGAGUUGGAAGUGACUUAACAGCACUAACAACAACAGAGGCCCCCAGAAUGGCACUGAAGAGAGUGGUCCUGGUCCCCUGUGGCCGCUCUUCUGAGCUAGGCAUCCCAACUCCUUCAGCCACUUCCUGAGUCACCAGACCCUCCCAUGUCACCCUCUCUGUGCCCACCCUAUGCUUCGUGAUGCCUGGUCCCCAGGGAGCCCCCAGUCUUGAGAGGGAAACAGGGCAGGACAGAGACACCCCCAGCCUGUUAUGGACGAGGCUGAGCCAGAGGGCAGAGAGGGCUGCCUGGAGUUGCUACCUUGCAGAAUGUACGGGCACUCACUAGGUACAGGAGUAGGGGGAGGGGAGGCAUGCUAGAAAGAGGGAGCAGCAGGGCACAGGGGUGGCAGAUGUGGGAAAGAGCAGAGCAUUCCCUAUAACUAGAAGAAAGUGCAUUUUUGAAGAGAACACAUUUGCUGUGAGUUCCUGCUUGGGGAGGAAGCAGAAGGAUCCUUUUAACCAGCUGGGUGUCCUGGGCCGCAGGAAGAACCCGAGCAAAGGCCGUGAGAAGGCAGAG